This 352-nucleotide ribosomal RNA is filed under the name uncultured Anoxybacillus sp. RNAcentral's name for it is "bacterial SSU rRNA". It matches the Rfam family "Bacterial small subunit ribosomal RNA", at positions 1028 to 1382 of the family's 1533-position model. The record is from RNAcentral. Lineage: Bacteria; Bacillati; Bacillota; Bacilli; Caryophanales; Anoxybacillaceae.
AGGGUGACAGGUGGUGCAUGGUUGUCGUCAGCUCGUGUCGUGAGAUGUUGGGUUAAGUCCCGCAACGAGCGCAACCCUCGACCUUAGUUGCCAGCAUUCAGUUGGGCACUCUAAGGUGACUGCGGCUAAAAGUCGGAGGAAGUGGGGAUGACGUCAAAUCAUCAUGCCCCUUAUGACCUGGGCUACACACGUGCUACAAUGGGCGGUACAAAGGGUCGCGAACCCGCGAGGGGGAGCCAAUCCCAAAAAGCCGACUCUCAGUUCGGAUUGCAGGCUGCAACUCGCCUGCAUGAAGCCGGAAUCGCUAGUAAUCGCGGAUCAGCAUGCCGCGGUGAAUACGUUCCCGGGCCUU